RNAcentral lists this ribosomal RNA (480 nucleotides) under uncultured bacterium. RNAcentral describes it as "bacterial SSU rRNA". It matches the Rfam family "Bacterial small subunit ribosomal RNA", at positions 1050 to 1529 of the family's 1533-position model. The record is from RNAcentral.
UGUCGUCAGCUCGUGUCGUGAGAUGUUGGGUUAAGUCCCGCAACGAGCGCAACCCUUAAGCUUAGUUGCCAUCAUUAAGUUGGGCACUCUAGGUUGACUGCCGGUGACAAACCGGAGGAAGGUGGGGAUGACGUCAAAUCAUCAUGCCCCUUAUGAUUUGGGCUACACACGUGCUACAAUGGACAAUACAAAGGGCAGCUAAACCGCGAGGUCAUGCAAAUCCCAUAAAGUUGUUCUCGGUUCGGAUUGUAGUCUGCAACUCGACUACAUGAAGCUGGAAUCGCUAGUAAUCGUAGAUCAGCAUGCUACGGUGAAUACGUUCCCGGGUCUUGUACACACCGCCCGUCACACCACGAGAGUCUGUAACACCCGAAGCCGGUGGAGUAACCAUUUAUGGAGCUAGCCGUCGAAGGUGGGACAAAUGAUUGGGGUGAAGUCGUAACAAGGUAGCCGUAUCGGAAGGUGCGGUUGGAUCACCUC